Cebus imitator (Panamanian white-faced capuchin) is the source of this 667-nucleotide long non-coding RNA. RefSeq lists it as uncharacterized. The transcript is spliced from 3 exons. Lineage: Eukaryota; Metazoa; Chordata; Mammalia; Primates; Cebidae. The record is from RefSeq and is a predicted model, not a curated record.
UCUUGACCUCAUGAUCUGCCCACCUUGGCCUCCCAGAGUGCUGGGAUUACAGGUGUGAGCCACCAUGACCAGCCCAUUUUAGGUUUUAUGAAUAUAGCCAUGAGCAAAACAAACCAAAAAUCUGUCCUCACAGGAUUUAAAUUCUAUUGUAAGGAGACAGACAAGUAUAAAAAUAAACACUUUUGUGUGUUGGAAAGUGAUAAAUGCAAUGGAGAAAAAUAAGACAGGACAAGAGGUAUAGGUAGUGCAAGUGUUAGAUUGUUAGACUGCACCCUGCCGCCAGUGGAAGGCCUGGGGUCCCUAGCAGGAGGUGGGAAGUUAAUGGGAAGUGGUAGAAGGGGUACCUGCGGAGUGCUCACUCUGAGUUUCUUCCUCCGAUUUUUUUCAGGCAGCACAUGGUCUCCUACAGCGUUCAUUGUCAAUGACGGGGAUGUCCCCGAUGGGCUGAACCUUGGGUCGGUGGUGAGCGAUGUUGAGACAGGAGUGGUAUUUCUUUUCUACACCCUUUGUGCCCACAAGGCUGGCUGCCAGGUGGCCUCUACCAUGUUGGUAUGGAGCAAGGAUGAUGGUGUUUCCUGGAGCACACCCCGGAAUCUCUCCCUGGAUAUUGGCACUGAAGUGUUUGCCCCUGGACCCGGCUCUGGUAUUCAGAAAAAGCGUGAGCCAC